CCUGCCCUUUGUACACACCGCCCAUCGCUCCUACCGCUUGAAUGGUAAGGUGAAGUGUUCGGAUCGUGGCCUGCGGGGGGUUUGCCGCCGGUGAGUCACGAGAAGUUCGCUGAACCUUAUCAUUUAGAGGAAGAAGAAGUCGUAACAAGGUUGCCGUAGGUGAACCUACGGAAGGAUCACUA
This 182-nucleotide ribosomal RNA is filed under the name Buxus natalensis. RNAcentral describes it as "Notobuxus natalensis partial 18S ribosomal RNA". It matches the Rfam family "Eukaryotic small subunit ribosomal RNA", at positions 1652 to 1831 of the family's 1831-position model. Lineage: Eukaryota; Viridiplantae; Streptophyta; Magnoliopsida; Buxales; Buxaceae. The record is from RNAcentral.